Long non-coding RNA from Canis lupus familiaris (dog), 3079 nucleotides. RefSeq lists it as uncharacterized. The transcript is spliced from 3 exons. NCBI's taxonomy places the organism in Eukaryota, Metazoa, Chordata, Mammalia, Carnivora, Canidae. The record is from RefSeq and is a predicted model, not a curated record.
UUGCCAUCAGAUUCUUGGCUGACUCCCAAGCCAGGUUCAGAAGAGCCCUCGCACUCUGGAGCCCCCAGAAGGACUUAGUGCUUGUAGGCUCUGGCAGCUUCGGGGUGUCUGGGGAGGGCAGUCCUACCUGAGGCUGUCCUGAGUCUGAGACACGUGGCGCUUGGGGCUGACUCUCUGCGGUGGCUCCGGGUCCCCUGGCAGUGCCACUCUGGUGUGAACCCGGUAAAGAGGAUUCUAUCUCCAUUUGACGAUUAACCCUCAACCUGAGGAAAGAGAGGUCCUGCCAGCCUGGCUGACUUGAAGUCACAGGAGGGUCCUCUUCAAAGACUCCUCCUGUCAUUUCUAGGAGUCCCCAACGGAUCCAAUCUAUUCAUUCAACCAACAAAUAUUGAGCACGUAUCAGGUACCAGGGAGUGUGCUGAAGAUGCAGUAGUGAGAAAAAAAGGACACAGCUGCUGUUCUUUGGGUGUUUUCAAUCUAAAAGGGGACACCAGACCUUAAUCAAAUAAUGACUCAGGGAAUCAAAUGCAAGCUAACUUAAGUAACUAGAAGAACAAGUAGAAAGCUUAUAAGAACAAUGGCAAAGGUACUUGACCUUGGCUGGGGCUCAGGUCUCCAAGGAAGUUCCUAAUUGAAAUGAGCUCUGGGGUCCGGGGAAGUUCAUGGGGUCUGGUUGAAGCGGUUCUGAAGAAAGAGGGCUGUCUCUGGCAGAAGGAACGGCAAGGGCAAGAGCUCUGUGGUAGGAGAAGGCACAGUAUGCAGGAUACACAGUUCAGAACUGGCAAGUUUGAAUGAUUUCAGCAGGCUCUGAGGCAAAGUUGCUGCCCCUCAUUAUCUGGUACCUGGUUCUGGGGGUGAUAGAGGCAGGGGAAUAGUGGCCCUAAUUGUCAGAACCCAUUGAGGAGGUAGGUGAUGGUGUGGGCUCUGGGUUGGCUAGCUUGCAUAUGAAAGUCACACUAGCGGGCAGGUUGUUUGCUAUCUCUAGAAAUUGGCUAGCCCUAGGAUGGGAGUCCCUCCAGAGUCAGCAGGCCCUGAGAUGUCAAAGGAUCAAACAGAGUACAGAGUAAAAGACAUGAUUAAUCCAGUACAUUGGAGGAACAUCAGGGGGAAGAGUGGCCAGAGUUAGCAAGAGGGACAGAUGAUGAGGAAGGAUGACAUUUCUCACUGUUUCUGAGGGACUUCAGUGAAAAAUGAUCUUCCCAGUUUUUGUAAUCCUUUCCCCCUUUGGACACAAACAUAUGGCUGGACUGGAGGUCUAAUCUGGCUGAGAGAAACAUCUGCACUCAGAAGUGUCCCAGAAACUAUCCUCCAAUAACUCUUGAUAUAAAUUACAUAUCCUCUAAUAUGUCCUAGCAACAUAUUGGCCUAAGUCUGAGUGCUAGGUCUCUUCCUUGGGAAUAUAUUAUUUUCUUACAUUCUUUGGUCAAAUUAGCCCUAGGGCAGUGGUUCUCAAUCAGGAACAAUUUUGUGGGAUUUAGGACAUUUGACAAUGUCUGGAGACAUUUUUGGUUGUCACAACUUGGUGGAGAGUAUUAGAGUGCAGAAGUCAGGGAUGCUGCCAAACAUAACAAAAUGCUUGGGACACAUUCCCCAACCCCCCACCCCACACACACAGCAGAGCAUCAUCUCUCCCAGAAUGUCAGUAGUAGGGCUGAGACUGGGAAAUAUUAUCCCAGAUAUCUGUAUCCUGGAAGUGAAUAGAGUCAGAGGUUAAGCCAUGGCCCUUCACAAAAAGAAUUUUUCAUUAAAAAUCACCCUGUAGUGGAUAUAUUAUAUUCAUUAUUUGUAUAACUUGUCUUUUAGUCUCAAGAAAUAUCUGAUUUUUCUUCUACCUAUUCCUUCUCUCUAUGUCUGUUUUGGAAAAGAAGGCCUGGGGGCAUAUUUAGAAAGAGUUACCUAAUCUGCUAUCUUAUAGCACCAUUCCAAAGCUCUUUAAGUGAUGGUCUCCUAUUUGUUUUAUUUUUUUUAGAUUCCCUGUUACUUUAUGAAAUUGAGUCAAGUCGACAAGUCUUUAAUAACUGCCUACCAUAUACUUAGCACAUGUCAUUCUGGAAAUCUAACACAAUGCCUGACCCAGUGCACAGAGGGACCUAACCCAUGAGAAUGUACAUUAUCUUAUGUACUUUUCCCAGUAGCCUUAUAAUGAAAGGAUUCAUAUACCUCCGCUUACACGUGAGUAGAUAAAGGCUUGGAGAGAGUUGAGUUGUGCCUAGAUCACGUGGCUAGUAUGUAGUAGACUCUGGAUUUGAACCCAAGCACAUGGUCUGCCCCAAAGCCAAUGCCCCUCUUGUGGAACUCCAUAACUCUUUCCCACUGAUGAAAACUGGGGAGCACAACUUUUUAUCCCAUUAAGAACUAUCCUCCAAUUGGCUCUUUUAAUUUAGAGGACUCUGUUCAGCUCAUUCAGCUUCUCCACCAAAGAAGUGAGCAUAGUUCUGGAUGAAAGGAAAAAUAUUAACCAAAGGAAUCAACAGGCUUCAUAAUAGUUUAACUCCCAUUCUACCAGAAAGUCUGACUCUCAAAAACUCUGACUCCCACCUAAUUAGUACCUUAGUCGAGGCGCUAUAAAUUAGCAGAGAUUAGUUAGGGAUAAUGAAAAAGGUGGGGGACAUAUCCUAACAUUGCUCCAGUUUUAUUCCACAGAUAGCUCCCUGGGAAAUUAAACAGAUUCUCAUUGAGCCUGAGGUGAGCCUUGAAUUUCAAAGAAGAUGAAAAGACUCAUCAGAGCAAACCUAUUCCUGCUCUUGAUAGAAAUUACUUCUCCUCAGAUGUCAGCCCCUUCCCCACCCCCUCAGACUAUCUCUUCCAGACUGUCAGCAGUUAUUUUUUAAGUUUUAUCCUUCUGUACUAUUUUAGUGGGGUUUUUUUUUUUUCCUAUUAUGCCCAUAUACCUGCUACAAAGUAGGACAUGAGCUAGCUAGCUAAAUAAUCUUUAGUAAAUACAUAGAACUAUACCCUAUGGUAGAGCUUUAAAAAUAAAAGGCAUAGGGCAGCCUGGGUGGCUCAGCGGUUUAGCGCCGCCUUCAGCCCAGGGCGCGAUCCUGGAGACCUGGGAUCGAGUCCCACAUCGGGCUCCCUG